UACGUAGGGGGCAAGCGUUGUCCGGAUUUAUUGGGCGUAAAGAGCGUGUAGGCGGCUUGGUAGGUCCGCUGUGAAAACUCGAGGCUCAACCUCGAGAUGUCGGCGGAAACCACUUGGCUAGAGUCCGGAAGAGGAGAGUGGAAUUCCCGGUGUAGCGGUGAAAUGCGCAGAUAUCGGGAAGAACACCUAUGGCGAAGGCAGGUCUCUGGGCCAUAACUGACGCUGAGAAGCGAAAGCAUGGGGAGCGAACAGG
RNAcentral lists this ribosomal RNA (253 nucleotides) under uncultured bacterium. RNAcentral's name for it is "partial 16S ribosomal RNA". It matches the Rfam family "Bacterial small subunit ribosomal RNA", at positions 524 to 776 of the family's 1533-position model. The record is from RNAcentral.